UUAAUAUUCGUACCACUGUUAUUGUGUCAUUACAUUAAUUUCUGAAAAACAUGUAACGUUAAGUAACGUUAGUUUAAUAGGUUGUAGCCUGUCACAUUAGCCUAGCGUUAUAGUUAACAAUCUCUGUUAUUCUGACAUUAUAUUCUGUGUGAUGUUAACGUUACCAUUGUAACUUCAAGGGACAACAGAGCAAACAAGUGCCCUAAUUGAGUGGCGAGCCGUCAAUGAGGUCCUGUUUACAGGGAAGAGGAAUUCCUCAAAAAAUGGAUGGGAGUGAGUAUGCUUUUUAUGUGUUUGUAUGCGACAGGCGGUGGUCCAUUGGUGUGUUUGUAUCAGACUUGAUAGCCUCUUAGAAGAAUUUGAUGCACCAAAAAUAAAGAAAACAAAUACAAAGUAUAAAGCUAAAGCAAAUAUUAUAAAAGUAAAUUGUAACCUGGUGAACAGAUAAGUAAUUUCCCUCUGAGGAUCAAUAAAGUUAUUCUUAUUCUAGGCUGUAGUGUGGUAUUAAACAGUGCAAAGUACUUGUGAAGUGCAAAGAAAAAGUACAGGUGACAGUUAUGUAAUUAUCAACUUAAACAAAAUGACUAAUUUGUACUAACAAUAAUAAUAACUUAUGUGUACAACUGUCACUCAACUAUUCCUUGCAUGCACGUACUGCCGAAGUGCAAUAUAGCCUUCAUACGAAAUGUCUGCAUUAUCAUUCCAUAACUACAUCAUAUUGAAUAGUUUCUGUCAGCUUGUGUUUGUCACUGAAAUAUCUCUGUUAACUUGUGUGUUUAAUUUGUAAUAAUAUCAUGUAAUAUGAUGUCUGACUAAGUUGUCCUAUUUGUGUGUGUGUGUGUGUGUGUGUGUGUGUGUGUGUGUGUGUGUGAGUGUGUGUGCUUUAUCCAGAGUCUUUGUGAAAAAUUGCGGCUUUGCUGUGACAGCCAAGCAGGCCAUGAAAAAGUGGAACAACCUGAAGGAGAAAUACAAGUUAUAGUCGUGCUCCCUCAGAAAAGCAGGUUGCUCUGCAGGGGCAGACACCUACGCAGCAAGCCUGGCCCGGAGGUUGUUUCCAGAGAGCUCUAGUUCAGCAGCACCAGGAUCCUCCUCCUCCUCCUCCUCCUCCUCCUCGAUGUCCUCCUCCUCCUCCUCCUCGAUGUCCCCUGUCCCCAGAGAUUGUGGAGGAUGCAGCAUGCGGCGAUGACCUUUGGUGCAAAUAGAGGCCGGAUCUCCAAAGCCCGGAGGAAGAUGGCCCUCCAACGGGUUUUAAGCAUCCCGAAGGCUGGCGGUAUGGGGUCAUGAGGGUCACCGGAAGCUGGAGGCAAGGGUACCCCCCAUCUCCAAGCAGGUAGAAGUCAGCUGGUGGGUACAGGGACUCCUUGUACAUUGGACAUCUUCGGAGGAUAAGGGCAUCAUGGACUGACCCCGUGUUUCCAACUUAGGUGGGAGAAUGCGGACGUGGCACCCAUCUAUGGCACCAGCCACACACCGAAAUGCCUCGUGCCCAGCCAGACGUGCAAAGCCUGCCCCCACC
Non-coding RNA from Epinephelus lanceolatus (giant grouper), 1516 nucleotides. The record is from RefSeq and is a predicted model, not a curated record. Lineage: Eukaryota; Metazoa; Chordata; Actinopteri; Perciformes; Serranidae.